CAAUAGCGUAUAUUUAAGUUGCUGCAGUUAAAAAGCUCGUAGUUGGAUUUCGGGUGGGAAUGGCCGGUCCGCCGUUUCGGUGUGCACUUGCUACGCCCACCUUGCUGCCGGGGACGUGCUCUUGAGUUCACGCUCGGGACACGGAGUCGGCGAGGUUACUUUGAGUAAAUUAGAGUGUUCAAAGCAGGCCUACGCUCUGAAUACAUUAGCAUGGGAUAACACGACAGGACUCUGGCCUAUCGUGUUGGUCUGUAGGACCAGAGUAAUGAUUAAGAGGGACAGUCGGGGGCAUUCGUAUUCCGUUGUCAGAGGUGAAAUUCUUGGAUUUACGGAAGACGAACAUCUGCGAAAGCAUUUGCCAAGGAUGUUUUCAUUGA
RNAcentral lists this ribosomal RNA (377 nucleotides) under uncultured eukaryote. Its description in RNAcentral is "partial 18S ribosomal RNA". It matches the Rfam family "Eukaryotic small subunit ribosomal RNA", at positions 592 to 976 of the family's 1831-position model. The record is from RNAcentral.